AGAAUCAACGCUGGCGGCGUGCCUAACACAUGCAAGUCGAACGAGAAAGUGGAGCAAUCCAUGAGUAAAGUGGCGCACGGGUGAGUAACACGUGACUAACCUACCCUUGAGUGGGGGAUAACCUAGGGAAACCCGGGCUAAUACCGCAUAAUACCUUCGGGUCAAAGGAGCAAUUCGCUUAAGGAGGGGGUCGCGGCCGAUUAGUUAGUUGGCGGGGUAAUGGCCCACCAAGACUAUGAUCGGUAUCC
RNAcentral lists this ribosomal RNA (248 nucleotides) under uncultured bacterium. RNAcentral's name for it is "partial small subunit ribosomal RNA". It matches the Rfam family "Bacterial small subunit ribosomal RNA", at positions 26 to 288 of the family's 1533-position model. The record is from RNAcentral.